This 76-nucleotide ribosomal RNA is filed under the name Trebouxia sp. Lr. RNAcentral describes it as "partial 26S ribosomal RNA". It matches the Rfam family "Eukaryotic large subunit ribosomal RNA", at positions 1 to 81 of the family's 3401-position model. The record is from RNAcentral. Lineage: Eukaryota; Viridiplantae; Chlorophyta; Trebouxiophyceae; Trebouxiales; Trebouxiaceae. RNAcentral also lists the same sequence under 2 other names.
UGAGGUCAGGCAAGAACACCCGCUGAACUUAAGCAUAUCAAUAAGCGGAGGAAAAGAAACUAACUAGGAUUCCCUU